RNAcentral lists this ribosomal RNA (427 nucleotides) under uncultured prokaryote. RNAcentral's name for it is "bacterial SSU rRNA". It matches the Rfam family "Bacterial small subunit ribosomal RNA", at positions 355 to 774 of the family's 1533-position model. The record is from RNAcentral.
UAGGGAAUAUUAGUAAUGGGCGAAAGCCUGAACUAGCAACACCGCGUGUGUGAUGAAGGCCUUCGGGUCGUAAAGCCCUGUCAGGUGGGAAGAAUGUCCUGGAAUUGAACAGGUUUCGGGAGUGACGGUACCACCAGAGGAAGCACCGGCUAACUCCGUGCCAGCAGCCGCGGUAAUACGGAGGGUGCAAGCGUUAUUCGGAAUUACUGGGCGUAAAGCGCGUGUAGGCGGUCCUGCAAGUCUGAUGUGAAAGCCCCGGGCUUAACCCGGGAAGUGCAUUGGAAACUGUUGGACUUGAGUACUGGAGAGGAUGGGGGAAUUCCCGGUGUAGAGGUGAAAUUCGUAGAGAUCGGGAGGAAUAUCAGUGGCGAAGGCGCCCAUCUGGACGGUAACUGACGCUGAGACGCGAAAGCGUGGGGAGCAAACA